RNAcentral lists this ribosomal RNA (787 nucleotides) under Copris sp. sp45. RNAcentral's name for it is "SSU rRNA". It matches the Rfam family "Eukaryotic small subunit ribosomal RNA", at positions 508 to 1255 of the family's 1831-position model. Lineage: Eukaryota; Metazoa; Arthropoda; Insecta; Coleoptera; Scarabaeidae. The record is from RNAcentral.
AUCGGAAUGAGUACACUCUAAACCCUUUAACGAGGAUCAAUUGGAGGGCAAGUCUGGUGCCAGCAGCCGCGGUAAUUCCAGCUCCAAUAGCGUAUAUUAAAGUUGUUGCGGUUAAAAAGCUCGUAGUCGAAUUUGUGUCCCGCGCCGCCGGUUCAUCGCUCGCGGUGUCAACUGGCGUGUCCGCGGGACGUCCUGCCGGUGGGCUUAGCCCCUGUGGGCGGCCCAAUCUCAAUCCCACCGCGGUGCUCUUCACUGAGUGUCGAGGUGGGCCGGCACGUUUACUUUGAACAAAUUAGAGUGCUUAAAGCAGGCUAAAACAUCGCCUGAAUACUGUGUGCAUGGAAUAAUGGAAUAGGACCUCGGUUCUAUUUUGUUGGUUUUCGGAACCCCGAGGUAAUGAUUAAUAGGAACGGAUGGGGGCAUUCGUAUUGCGACGUUAGAGGUGAAAUUCUUGGAUCGUCGCAAGACGGACAGAAGCGAAAGCAUUUGCCAAAAACGCUUUCAUUGAUCAAGAACGAAAGUUAGAGGUUCGAAGGCGAUCAGAUACCGCCCUAGUUCUAACCAUAAACGAUGCCAGCUAGCGAUCCGCCGACGUUCCUCCGAUGACUCGGCGGGCAGCUUCCGGGAAACCAAAGCUUUUGGGUUCCGGGGGAAGUAUGGUUGCAAAGCUGAAACUUAAAGGAAUUGACGGAAGGGCACCACCAGGAGUGGAGCCUGCGGCUUAAUUUGACUCAACACGGGAAACCUCACCAGGCCCGGACACCGGAAGGAUUGACAGAUUGAGAGC